AGGCAUGUGACUCUUCCGUCACUGUUAGUCUACUUAAAUCAUAUAUUUUAAGCAUUGUUCUUGAGUCAUUAAUGGUGGUAUAGAAAACAUUGUUAAGGGUUUGAAUGCAUAAUGUUGAGAAUAUUUUUCUCAUGGUUUAAAUUAUAAUUAUACAUGUUUUGAUAAUGGUUUUGCAUAUGUGGGUGCAUGGGAUCUGUAGCUUAACAAAUAGAUCAUGCUUAACCUUAAAUAUAUUUGUUUUUAUUGGCAUUAAUAAUGGUAUGCCCUCAACUUAUUUGUGAAAUUGGCAAUGAGAAUGAUCUUGUCACAUGCUGAAUUUUGUUUUGAAUGAAGGCAUUGGCCUAGUAAUUUAAAUGGUUUGUAAAUGAAUUCAUGAAGGCCU
RNAcentral lists this long non-coding RNA (382 nucleotides) under Capsicum annuum. RNAcentral's name for it is "long non-coding RNA (CANN_LNC012624)". Lineage: Eukaryota; Viridiplantae; Streptophyta; Magnoliopsida; Solanales; Solanaceae. The record is from RNAcentral.